UCCGGCUUAUCACCGGCAGUUUCUUUAGAGUGCUCAACUAAAUGGUAGCAACUAAAGACGAGGGUUGCGCUCGUUAAUGGACUUAACCAAACAUCUCACGACACGAGCUGACGACGGCCAUGCAUCAUCUGUCACCGAGUUCAAUAAAGCACUCUCGUCUUUCGACAAAAUUCUUGGGAUGUCAAACCCUGGUAAGGUUUUUCGUUUAUCAUCGAAUUAAAGAACACGCUCCACCGCUUGUGCGGGUCCCCGUCAAUUCCUUUAUGUUUUAGUCUUGCGACCGUACUCCACAGGUGGGAUGCUUAACGCGUUAGCUUCGCUACGGAAGGGGUCGAUACCCCCCACAGCUAGCAUCCAUCGUUUACGGCGUGGACUAC
This 377-nucleotide unclassified non-coding RNA is filed under the name uncultured bacterium. Its description in RNAcentral is "contains 16S-23S intergenic spacer region". The record is from RNAcentral.